RNAcentral lists this unclassified non-coding RNA (27 nucleotides) under Mus musculus (house mouse). RNAcentral describes it as "piRNA piR-mmu-68514768". Lineage: Eukaryota; Metazoa; Chordata; Mammalia; Rodentia; Muridae. The record is from RNAcentral.
UGAACGUGUGGGGCCCUGAAAGGCGAG